This 402-nucleotide unclassified non-coding RNA is filed under the name soil metagenome. Its description in RNAcentral is "partial contains 5.8S ribosomal RNA, internal transcribed spacer 2, and large subunit ribosomal RNA". The stretch from base 1 to 121 matches the Rfam family "5.8S ribosomal RNA", at positions 35 to 154 of the family's 154-position model. The record is from RNAcentral.
GAUGAAGAACGCAGCGAAAUGCGAUAAGUAAUGUGAAUUGCAGAAUUCAGUGAAUCAUCGAAUCUUUGAACGCACCUUGCACCCUUUGGCUAUUCCGAAGGGUAUGCCUGUUUGAGUAUCAUGAACACCUCAACUCUCAUGGUUUGCCAUGAUGAGCUUGGACUUUGGGGGUCUUGCUGGCCUGUGGUCAGCUCCUCUCAAAUGGAUUAGCUUGCCAGUGUUUGGUGGCAUCACAGGUGUGAUAACUAUCUACGCUUGUGGUUUUCCACCAGGUAACCUUCAGCAAUGGGGGUUCGCUGGGGCUCAUAAAUGUCUCUCCUCAGUGAGGAGAGCUCUUUGAACGUUUGAUCUCAAAUCAGGUGGGACUACCCGCUGAACUUAAGCAUAUCAAUAAGCGGAGGA